UAGUACUCUCGAUGAGGUCACUGUCU
RNAcentral lists this non-coding RNA (26 nucleotides) under Mus musculus (house mouse). Lineage: Eukaryota; Metazoa; Chordata; Mammalia; Rodentia; Muridae. The record is from RNAcentral.